This 1234-nucleotide ribosomal RNA is filed under the name metagenome. Its description in RNAcentral is "bacterial SSU rRNA". It matches the Rfam family "Bacterial small subunit ribosomal RNA", at positions 8 to 1251 of the family's 1533-position model. The record is from RNAcentral.
AGAGUUUGAUCAUGGCUCAGGAUGAACGCUAGCGGCAGGCUUAACACAUGCAAGUCGAGGGGUAUAAGUCUUCGGAUUUAGAGACCGGCGCACGGGUGCGUAACGCGUAUGCAAUCUACCUUUUACAGCGGGAUAGCCCAGAGAAAUUUGGAUUAAUACCUCAUAGCAUAGCAGCUUCGCAUGAAGGCGCUAUUAAAGUCACAACGGUAAAAGAUGAGCAUGCGUCCCAUUAGCUAGUUGGUAAGGUAACGGCUUACCAAGGCUACGAUGGGUAGGGGUCCUGAGAGGGAGAUCCCCCACACUGGUACUGAGACACGGAUCAGACUCCUACGGGAGGCAGCAGUGAGGAAUAUUGGACAAUGGGCGCAAGCCUGAUCCAGCCAUGCCGCGUGCAGGAUGACGGUCCUAUGGAUUGUAAACUGCUUUUAUACGAGAAGAAACACUCCUACGUGUAGGAGCUUGACGGUAUCGUAAGAAUAAGGAUCGGCUAACUCCGUGCCAGCAGCCGCGGUAAUACGGAGGAUCCAAGCGUUAUCCGGAAUCAUUGGGUUUAAAGGGUCCGUAGGCGGUUUAAUAAGUCAGUGGUGAAAGCCCAUCGCUCAACGGUGGAACGGCCAUUGAUACUGUUAAACUUGAAUUAUUAGGAAGUAACUAGAAUAUGUAGUGUAGCGGUGAAAUGCUUAGAGAUUACAUGGAAUACCAAUUGCGAAGGCAGGUUACUACUAAUUGAUUGACGCUGAUGGACGAAAGCGUGGGUAGCGAACAGGAUUAGAUACCCUGGUAGUCCACGCCGUAAACGAUGGAUACUAGCUGUUGGGAGCAAUCUCAGUGGCUAAGCGAAAGUGAUAAGUAUCCCACCUGGGGAGUACGUUCGCAAGAAUGAAACUCAAAGGAAUUGACGGGGGCCCGCACAAGCGGUGGAGCAUGUGGUUUAAUUCGAUGAUACGCGAGGAACCUUACCAAGGCUUAAAUGUAGAUUGACCGUUUUGGAAACAGAACUUUCGCAAGACAAUUUACAAGGUGCUGCAUGGUUGUCGUCAGCUCGUGCCGUGAGGUGUCAGGUUAAGUCCUAUAACGAGCGCAACCCCUGUUGUUAGUUGCCAGCGAGUCAAGUCGGGAACUCUAACAAGACUGCCAGUGCAAACUGUGAGGAAGGUGGGGAUGACGUCAAAUCAUCACGGCCCUUACGCCUUGGGCUACACACGUGCUACAAUGGCCGGUACAGAGAGCAGCC